UGUUGACCUCGGAUCAGGUAGGAAUACCCGCUGAACUUAAGC
This 42-nucleotide ribosomal RNA is filed under the name Fusarium sp. RNAcentral describes it as "partial 28S ribosomal RNA". The record is from RNAcentral. Lineage: Eukaryota; Fungi; Ascomycota; Sordariomycetes; Hypocreales; Nectriaceae.